This 119-nucleotide ribosomal RNA is filed under the name Lottia gigantea (owl limpet). The record is from RNAcentral. Lineage: Eukaryota; Metazoa; Mollusca; Gastropoda; Lottiidae.
GUCUAUGGCCAUACCACGUUGAAAGCACCAGUUCUCGUCCGAUCACUGAAGUUAAGCAACGUCGGGCUCGGUUAGUACUUGGAUGGGUGACCGCCUGGGAACACCGAGUGCUGUAGACU